UGACGCAGCAACGCCGCGUGAGUGAUGAAGGCCUUCGGGUUGUAAAACUCUUUUGUCGGGGAAGAACCAUGACGGUACCCGGCGAAUAAGCCACGGCUAACUACGUGCCAGCAGCCGCGGUAAGACGUAGGUGGCGAGCGUUAUCCGGAUUUACUGGGCGUAAAGCGUACGUAGGCGGCGCUGUCAGUCUGCUGUGAAAUCUCUCGGCUCAACCGGGAGCGGCCAGUGGAAACUGCAGCGCUGGAGGGGCGUAGAGGCAAGCGGAAUUCCCGGAGUAGUGGUGGAAUGCGUAGAUACCGGGAGGAACACCAGUGGCGCAAGCGGCUUGCCAGGCGCAUCCUGACGCUGAGGUACGAAAGCGUGGGUAGCGAACCGGAUUAGAUACCCGGGUAGUCCACGCCGUAAACGAUGGAUGCUAGUCGUGGGAGGUAUCGACCCCCUCUGUGACGCAGCUAACGCAAUAAGCAUCCCGCCUGGGGAGUACGGCCGCAAGGCUAAAACUCAA
Molecule: ribosomal RNA, 505 nt
Filed under: uncultured bacterium
Lineage: Bacteria
Description: bacterial SSU rRNA
Rfam family: Bacterial small subunit ribosomal RNA
Source: RNAcentral